CGGACUUUGUUUCGGUGCGAUCGGAUCGGUAGUAGCUUACCGCUACUCAAAUCAAAUUUUUGGCCCGGUCCGAACGCUCGAUGGGUUGUCCCAGAAAGUAGUCAUGUUUAUAGUUGUUUUAAGUGUUUUUAGAUGUUCCAAAAAUGUUUCAAGUAGCAGAAUUUGCAAAGAUAAUUCCAAACUCAAGUUGUGUGGUUUUACCUUGACUAAGCUAGUUUAUUAAUUUAUAUAAUAUUCUUGGUAUGCUAAAAAUAAUUAAAAUAAACUUUAUGGACUUUAAGAUGAUUGGAAGGACCCCUAAGAAUAUUUUUGGAAUUUUUGAAGGAUUUUUUAUAAUUAAUUGGACUAUAUAAGAGUUAGGGACCCGAGCUAGAGUUUGGACGAUUGGAUUUAGAUUAGGCUUCUUAUAGGCCCUGGAUGAGCAUUGUAAUUGUUGUUGUAGGCUUGAGGCCCUGUCUAGUUAUAGAAGAGACUCUACCAAAAUUUCUGCAAGACCUUAGGAUUUAUUCUUGCUUCUGUAGAUUAAAUUAAUUGGUUAAUUUGUCAGUCAAUUAAUAGAAGUCAUUGUAUUUAUAUAGGUGAUUGGGGCCAGCCGUCUUCUUCUUCUAACCAGACUAGCUAUAGAUGGGUCUUUAGCUUUGUGAGUUGGAUAUUGA
Molecule: unclassified non-coding RNA, 656 nt
Filed under: Hevea brasiliensis (rubber tree)
Lineage: Eukaryota; Viridiplantae; Streptophyta; Magnoliopsida; Malpighiales; Euphorbiaceae
Source: RNAcentral